Molecule: transfer RNA, 66 nt
Filed under: Aparapotamon binchuanense
Lineage: Eukaryota; Metazoa; Arthropoda; Malacostraca; Decapoda; Potamidae
Also listed under: 1 other name
Description: tRNA-Met
Source: RNAcentral
CGAAAGAUAAGCUAAAUCCUAAGCUAAUAGGUUCAUACCCUAUAAAUGAAUUGUUUUCUCUUUCUA